This 3816-nucleotide long non-coding RNA is filed under the name Xyrichtys novacula (pearly razorfish). The record is from RNAcentral. Lineage: Eukaryota; Metazoa; Chordata; Actinopteri; Labriformes; Labridae.
CUCUUGCUUCUUUUUCUAUCCAUCGCUCUCCUCCUCCUCUCUCCCUGGGUCCCGGCCACAUGCGAGAGGGUAGACUAGGACGCUGCAGCUCUGAAAAAAAAAAGAGGGGAAAAACGCUCUGCUGCUAUUUCUACAGGCAGGCCCUCCCCUUUAGCUAGUCUGUGCCAAAAGAGGGAGGGAUUUUUACUACUCCCAGUCCCAGGAUUUUAACCCUCUGCCUGCUCUUGCUUCUCUCUGCAAGAUCUUCUCCUCAAUAUCAUGCAACAAGUGGCUUCGCUUUACUCCUACUUCGACAUAACUGCGCCAUGUUUGAGACAUUUCGGAGGAGCAGCGUUGACUUCGCAGGCCGACUCCGAUCAAAUACAUUUUGCCAGUUUUCGCCGCCUCUAGGUCGUGGUCAGUAGAGUUAAACUGGACAGGGUGGAAUCUGGGUUUUUUUGAUUCGUGCCCUCCUGUGAUGCAAGGGCCUUUUUUCGAGCACGUGCUUCUCGAUUUCUCGCCAUGCUUCUUUUUACUCGUGAGCCGUCCCCGAGGAAGAAGACAGCAGCUUGUUUCCAGUGCGUUCCUUCAGCAGUUGCUUCAUUUUUUCGUACUACCUGUGCAUGUGUCCGGAUUUCUACAGAUGAUUUCUCAUGCAUUUUCCCUGUUCUCUUAUCUCUUCUGCCCUUCCUUCCUUCACCCUUCCAUCUCCAAACCUCUCCUUCUUUUUGGAUUUUUGCCCCACCCUCUCUUCCUCACGCUCUCCCCUUCUCCCUCUCUCCUUCUCUCUCUCUCUCUUUUUCUCUCUCUCUCUCACUCACUCCCUAUCUCUCUCACUCUCGUGGGCAGUCUCCAGUGAAAGGGGAGCAGGAGGGCGGGGCGACGACAGGGCUUUUUCUGGGACAGGUGCCAAUUCCAAACAAAAGACACAAAAAGCCAAAAAAGAGUGAGAUAGUUCCUGACUACUGGCAAAAAGUGGCAUGUUUCAAGAACUUAUUUGCAGGGUAGACAUGUGAGCAUUGGUAAACUGCUCUCCUGUUGCAGGACUUGAAGUUUUAGUUUGGCUUAAAGUGAGUAACUGCAGAGAUCUUGAAACCUCUCUCUCCCCCCCACCCUCCGCUCUCUUGCUCCCGUGAAGGCAUUUGAGUUUCGAGCAGGGGGGAAUAGAAGGAGGGGUGGGUGGAGUUGGGAAGGGGCAGUGGAAGGCGGGGUCAUGCCUACUCUCCUCCCUGUCGAGUCUUCUGCAUUAUUCAUAUGCCCGGGCCAGUGCUGCAAUCUGACUGGCUGCCUGGCUUAGCAUUCAGCCGACAUUCAGCAGCUCUGUUUGCUAACAUUCCUCAUUCAAAGCCUUGUUAACUGCCAGACGGGAGGAACACGCGACUCCAUGGGAGACCCACAUGGCCUCCUUAUUGUGGCGGGCCCUGACAGUUGCAGACUAGGGGGUGGCAGACACGGGAGAGCGAGGGGAGUCAGGUUGUAGAUGGUAGAGAGCAGUUAGCUGAGGUUUUGCAGGUUACCCGAGGCUUAGAGACCAGUUCUAGCCAAGGCGGCUGGAUUGACAGGGUAAAACCCAGACAGAUGGGCAGACAGACAUACAGACAUGGCGUUUAGGCAGACAGGAGGCUGGUACUUUCUGGGACUCUGAAUGGGUCUCUCGUUGGUGUGCCCGCCUACUCCUUGCAGGGAGUGCAGAGCUGUGUGACUGAAUUCGGGCUCCUUCUCUGCCCUUCUCUACAGACAGGAUAUGUGGACAUGCUGGGAGCAGCCACAGAGGGAUCAAGCACCACAAACGGCGGAGAUUUCGACGCUUUAUUCCGGAUAGCUGAUGACUGUAGUGUGUGUGCCAGUUCCCCUCAAAGUCUCAGUGGGUAAGUCAGAGAGUGUGUGUGGGUGUGGAGGUAAGUGUGUUUGUGCAUGUAUGCCUGUGCAAGUGUUUUUGUGUGAAAAAAAGACUCAAAUGCAGAGGUUUUACGUCUGAGAAAGGAUGAGACAAGCGCCUCAGUGCGGGUUUUGCUUUGCCCCGAUCUCCAUGUUCAUGUAUUGAAAACGUUAAGUCUGGGUGUUGAUUCUCGAGGACGACAUGACGACCCAGAGAGGGGAGGCUAACUGACUAUGGACGAACCAACGAGGGAAACGUGGCAAGGCCUUUGAAUUUUGGACGGAACUGAUCUAAUCUCUCCUCUCCUACGUUUUUACCUGCUGUUCGCUCUCCAGGUCAGUCUUUUGUGUGAGACAGAAGGACAGUUUUGGAGGGAGCAGAGGGGCGAGUGCUGUAAUGUUGGGCUUAGGGCCAGACUAGGCCUGCUACACAAGGCCAAGCCCCACCACAAUGCUCUGUCUCUUUCUCUCUCAGGCACUCUCUGAGUCUCUCUCCCUUUUCAGUCCUGGUCAGCUAUCAGAAAAACUACAACCCGCUCCGCUUUAAACGCCUCGAUACACGAAAACCUCGUCCUCACGAAUACAAUCAAGGUUUUUAGUCCAUAUUAAAAGGUUUAACGUUUGAAAAUGGGUCAUCGCUGACACGUGGCCACACACAGCGUUGAUGAAGCACAAACAGGCCUUUUGGACCGACCGCUUAUUAAGUUUUUUUUUUUUUACGAAUGUGGUUCACACACACGUUAUUCUCAUUUUCUCGAAUUUUCUCUACAUGCAUAAGCAAUUAAAAAACUACAAGGCAGUCAUUGGAUCCGAUGUUUCUCUACGGAGCGACUGGACCUUCGUAAUUUUUAUAAACCCAAUUGAAGAAUUAAUUUUAAGGUAAAUGGACAUAAAUCACACACCUGCUUCAUUCUCUAGACAGAAUAACACCUCUAAUAUCGUCUUCACUGCAUCGUAUUUUCACAAAAUAAAAAAAAGAUAUAAGCCACACCCCCUUCGAUGCCUCAGGAAUCCCAUCUCUUAAUUAUUAUUCAUAAAUCAGUUUCAUGAACAGGCGCUAAUUGAAGAAGCUUACACUUAAAUGGACUUUGCCUGUCGCUGUGGCUUUGUGUUCAAUACCACAGCACAUCAGACAGUACCAUGACCAGUAGGUAGGAGUGUAGGCAGUGUGAAUCAUCACUGAUAGCUCUAGUCAUCCCACCUACGUCCCACGUUACGCACUACAGGGCCUUAUGUGGGCUCCACCAUCACCCCCUCCCCUGCUCCCCACACACCCACCCCCCCCUGGCAGGGAACCCUACCUCUGCUUCUCUUAUUAGGUGUGUCCGGACCCCCUUUUCUGAGACCCUAAGCUUGGUGCGAUUACGAGCGAGUACGUCAGCAUGCGUCACUGCCGAACACCAAUCAGCUCCCACGGUGCAGCCAAAAAAAUGCAGCAGAAUCAAAUGAGAUCGUAUUUUUUUGAUUCUGCUCUCUUCUCUUCGAUUUUCUCCUUUUCUACCGUUUUCUAUCGUGACAAACGAACGCUAAUGUUUGCGCAGACUCGUGACGCUUUUUACCACCAAAUGACGGCGUUGAAUACAGAGAGGAAUACUAUUUUAAACACCAACCAAAUUCACUUUUACGUUCGUUUUUGAUGUAAAACGAUCUAAAACAUCCUCUGUGUACUUACGUCUUCGUUUCGUAUAAAUCGAAAUGAAAUAUUAAAAUAUUAGCUCUCUGAAUGUGAGUUAAGAGUUAAAAAAGCAAGAGACGAUGACGAAAAACAACUUAGAGUCUAUAAAAAAAUGCUGAUUUUUAAGAGUGAUUAAAAAAAAAAAAUUUGGAUUGCUGUAAUAUCAGAAUCUGUUACCUCUACAUCAGACACAAGGAGCCCAGAAUCACCAGCAGUGUUUCUAAUGCUAAAAAAGUGAUGUUGAUAAAAAUUGCAGAUUUUGCCGACACAUCAAAUCCUCAAAG